ACCAAGGCGACGAUCCGUAGCUGGUCUGAGAGGAUGAUCAGCCACACUGGAACUGAGACACGGUCCAGACUCCUACGGGAGGCAGCAGUGGGGAAUAUUGGACAAUGGGCGCAAGCCUGAUCCAGCCAUACCGCGUGGGUGAAGAAGGCCUUCGGGUUGUAAAGCCCUUUUGUUGGGAAAGAAAAGCAGUCGAUUAAUACUCGGUUGUUCUGACGGUACCCAAAGAAUAAGCACCGGCUAACUUCGUGCCAGCAGCCGCGGUAAUACGAAGGGUGCAAGCGUUACUCGGAAUUACUGGGCGUAAAGCGUGCGUAGGUGGUUGUUUAAGUCUGUUGUGAAACCCUGGGCUCACCUGGGAUUGCAGUGGAUACUGGACGACUAGAGUGUGGUAGAGGGAGUGGAUUCCCGGUGUAGCAGUGAAUGCGUAGAGACGGGAG
This 437-nucleotide ribosomal RNA is filed under the name Stenotrophomonas rhizophila. RNAcentral describes it as "bacterial SSU rRNA". It matches the Rfam family "Bacterial small subunit ribosomal RNA", at positions 267 to 703 of the family's 1533-position model. Lineage: Bacteria; Pseudomonadati; Pseudomonadota; Gammaproteobacteria; Lysobacterales; Lysobacteraceae. The record is from RNAcentral.